UACGUAGGGUGCAAGCGUUGUCCGGAAUUAUUGGGCGUAAAGAGCUCGUAGGCGGUUUGUCGCGUCUGCUGUGAAAGCCCGGAGCUCAACUCCGGAACUGCCAUUGAAACUGUUAGACUUGAGGAUGAGAGAGGUGAGUGGAAUUCCCAGUGUAGAGGUGAAAUUCGUAGAUAUUGGGAAGAACACCGGUGGCGAAGGCGGCUCACUGGCUCAUUACUGACGCUCAGGCGCGAUAGCGUGGGGAUCAAACAGG
RNAcentral lists this ribosomal RNA (253 nucleotides) under uncultured bacterium. RNAcentral's name for it is "partial 16S ribosomal RNA". It matches the Rfam family "Bacterial small subunit ribosomal RNA", at positions 524 to 776 of the family's 1533-position model. The record is from RNAcentral.